UCAUAGCACCCAGCACCAAGGAUCCGCGUUUCACUGAUGGCAAUUAUUACAGCCACAAGGGGUACCAUGCACUGAACGUGCUGGGGAUUUGCGAUGCUAAUCGCAGAAUCCUCCACCUAAAUGCACGCUAUCCGGGGAGCUGUCACGACGCUGCUGUCUGGUCAAUGUGCAGGAUACGGCAGAGGGCUUCAGUCCUGUUCGACGAUGGGGAGUGGCUGCUCGGAGAUCUUGG
Molecule: long non-coding RNA, 232 nt
Organism: Ornithodoros turicata
Lineage: Eukaryota; Metazoa; Arthropoda; Arachnida; Ixodida; Argasidae
Exons: 3
Source: RefSeq, a predicted model, not a curated record